GGGCCUAUAGCUUAGUCUGGCAACGAGAUUGAUUGCACUUGCAAUUGUCUGUUGGGCAAUUAGAGUGCUGGUCUUAUAAACCAGUGGUCCCGAGUUCAAAUCUCGGUAGGCCCA
Molecule: transfer RNA, 114 nt
Filed under: Nanobdellota archaeon
Lineage: Archaea; Nanobdellati; Nanobdellota
Also listed under: 1 other name
Description: tRNA-Ile
Rfam family: tRNA
About the family: Transfer RNA (tRNA) molecules are approximately 80 nucleotides in length. Their secondary structure includes four short double-helical elements and three loops (D, anti-codon, and T loops). Further hydrogen bonds mediate the characteristic L-shaped molecular structure. tRNAs have two regions of fundamental functional importance: the anti-codon, which is responsible for specific mRNA codon recognition, and the 3' end, to which the tRNAs corresponding amino acid is attached (by aminoacyl-tRNA synthetases). tRNAs cope with the degeneracy of the genetic code in two manners: having more than one tRNA (with a specific anti-codon) for a particular amino acid; and 'wobble' base-pairing, i.e. permitting non-standard base-pairing at the 3rd anti-codon position.
Source: RNAcentral